GAUGAACGCUGGCGGCGUGCCUAAUACAUGCAAGUCGAACGGGUGCAGCAAUGCAUCAGUGGCAGACGGGUGAGUAACACGUGGGAACCUUCCUAGGGGUACGGAACAACUCAGGGAAACUUGAGCUAAUACCGUAUACGUCCGUGAGGAGAAAGAUUUAUCGCCCUUAGACGGGCCCGCGUCGGAUUAGCUAGUUGGUGGGGUAACGGCCUACCAAGGCGACGUUCCGUAGCUGAUCUUAGAGGAUGAUCAGCCACACUGGGACUGAGACACGGCCCAGACUCCUACGGGAGGCAGCAGUGGGGAAUCUUGGACAAUGGGCGCAAGCCUGAUCCAGCCAUGCCGCGUGAGUGAAGAAGGUCUUCGGAUUGUAAAGCUCUUUUGCCAGGGACGAUAAUGACGGUACCUGGAGAAUAAGCCCCGGCAAACUUCGUGCCAGCCGCCGCGGUAA
Molecule: ribosomal RNA, 451 nt
Filed under: uncultured bacterium
Lineage: Bacteria
Description: partial 16S ribosomal RNA
Rfam family: Bacterial small subunit ribosomal RNA
Source: RNAcentral